Molecule: unclassified non-coding RNA, 985 nt
Filed under: Hevea brasiliensis (rubber tree)
Lineage: Eukaryota; Viridiplantae; Streptophyta; Magnoliopsida; Malpighiales; Euphorbiaceae
Source: RNAcentral
AAUUACAUCAACAAAAUCUCUAGAAGAGUCUGCUUAUUUCUCCAACUUUGUGUAACCCUUUUUACACAAAUCAUAAGGAUAACUCAUGGCCGCCACUGCCUCUGCUAAUUCACUCACAUCUGCUUUUCUUCCUCCUCAAGGAUUUAAUGGAUCAUCUAAGAGCUUACAAUGGAGAACCCAAAAGAAACAAUUUGGAAGAAAAGCUGGCUCUGCUACAAUAACAGCUAAAUUUGACCUCAUCCCUCCUCCUUAUCCAAUGGAUGCUUUGGAGCCUCAUAUGAGUAGUAGAACAUUUGAAUUCCACUGGGGGAAGCAUCACAGGGCGUAUGUCGACAACUUAAACAAGCAAAUUGAUGGAACAGAAUUAGAUGGAAAGACACUAGAAGAUAUAAUACUUGUUACAUAUAACAAUGGUGCUCCCCUUCCAGCAUUCAACAAUGCUGCUCAGGCCUGGAAUCAUCAGUUCUUCUGGGAAUCUAUGAAGCCCAACGGAGGAGGAGAGCCAUCCGGUGAAUUAUUAGAACUAAUAAAUAGAGACUUUGGUUCCUAUGAUACAUUUGUUAAAGAAUUUAAGGCAGCUGCAGCAACACAAUUUGGCUCCGGAUGGGCCUGGCUUGCAUACAAACCUGAAGACAAAAAGCUUGCUCUAGUGAAAACUCCUAAUGCUGAAAAUCCUCUUGUUUUGGGAUACACACCACUCCUCACCAUCGACGUUUGGGAGCAUGCUUACUAUCUGGACUUUCAGAAUCGGCGACCUGACUACAUAUCUAUCUUUAUGGAGAAGUUGGUGUCAUGGGAAGCAGUCAGUAUUAGGCUUAAAGCAGCAUCAGCUUGAGGUAAAAUAGAAAGGGUUAAGAGGCAAAUAUAAUGUACACUGAGUACAUACUUGAGGCAGAAUGUUUUUUUGUCAAUGAGACAUUAUGUUGAUGUUGUUUAUGUAGUUGAUGGACAGGAAAAAUAAAUGAUGCAAGAAGUUUGAGUAAAG